UACAGAGGUCCCAAGCGUUAUUCGGAUUCACUGGGCGUAAAGGGUGCGCAGGCGGCCAAGUGUGUGAGGCGUGAAAGCCUGGAGCUUAACUCCAGAAUUGCACCUCAAACUACAUGGCUAGAGCAUUGGAGAGGGUAGCGGAAUUCACGGUGUAGCAGUGAAAUGCGUAGAUAUCGUGAGGAACACCAGAGGCGAAGGCGGCUACCUGGACAAUUGCUGACGCUCAGGCACGAAAGCGUGGGGAGCAAAAGGG
RNAcentral lists this ribosomal RNA (253 nucleotides) under uncultured bacterium. RNAcentral's name for it is "partial 16S ribosomal RNA". It matches the Rfam family "Bacterial small subunit ribosomal RNA", at positions 524 to 776 of the family's 1533-position model. The record is from RNAcentral.